Molecule: transfer RNA, 69 nt
Filed under: Hycleus cichorii
Lineage: Eukaryota; Metazoa; Arthropoda; Insecta; Coleoptera; Meloidae
Description: tRNA-Gln
Rfam family: tRNA
About the family: Transfer RNA (tRNA) molecules are approximately 80 nucleotides in length. Their secondary structure includes four short double-helical elements and three loops (D, anti-codon, and T loops). Further hydrogen bonds mediate the characteristic L-shaped molecular structure. tRNAs have two regions of fundamental functional importance: the anti-codon, which is responsible for specific mRNA codon recognition, and the 3' end, to which the tRNAs corresponding amino acid is attached (by aminoacyl-tRNA synthetases). tRNAs cope with the degeneracy of the genetic code in two manners: having more than one tRNA (with a specific anti-codon) for a particular amino acid; and 'wobble' base-pairing, i.e. permitting non-standard base-pairing at the 3rd anti-codon position.
Source: RNAcentral
UAUAUUUUAGUAUAGGAUGUACAAGGGUUUUUGAUACUCUAGGAGGUGGUUUAAAUCUACUAAAUAUAA